Non-coding RNA from Podarcis lilfordi (Lilford's wall lizard), 75 nucleotides. The record is from the annotation of a GenBank genome assembly. NCBI's taxonomy places the organism in Eukaryota, Metazoa, Chordata, Lepidosauria, Squamata, Lacertidae.
GGUCUAAUAUGGCUAAGUCAGUAAAGCAUUAGACUCUUAAUCUCAGGGUUGUGGGUUUGAGCCUCACGUUGAGCA